AGAUUCGAUGGGGUGUAGAGAAAGAACAAUUCUUGAUUACUGGUCUGUUGGUCAGUUGGAUCUUGAUAUCUAUAAGCAAAAGGUGAUAUUAUUUGAUUAGCAGUUCGUGCCUUUGGAUCUUCUGCGUACUUCUACUGCACAUGAUUCUUCAAAUUUGUUCUAAUUUGAGCUGCUGCUGGUGAAUUUGGCUGAAACUUACAGUUGCCUUGAUCAGCUAAUGUGAUGUCGAGAGCAUUAGCAAUAGGAUUCUUGUUGUUGAUAACAUCAUUCAUUUCGGCCUACUCAGUAUCUGCUGAGGCAGAUAACGAGUUCGCCAAUUGUAAUUGCGACGAAGAAGGAGGAGGAUUCUGGACUGUACAGAACAUUCUCG
RNAcentral lists this long non-coding RNA (370 nucleotides) under Linum usitatissimum (flax). Its description in RNAcentral is "long non-coding RNA (LUSI_LNC001315)". Lineage: Eukaryota; Viridiplantae; Streptophyta; Magnoliopsida; Malpighiales; Linaceae. The record is from RNAcentral.